RNAcentral lists this microRNA (22 nucleotides) under Heligmosomoides polygyrus. Its description in RNAcentral is "hpo-miR-10099-3p". The record is from miRBase by way of RNAcentral. Lineage: Eukaryota; Metazoa; Nematoda; Chromadorea; Rhabditida; Heligmosomidae.
CGACUGUCGCAUGCACCCGAUA